RNAcentral lists this non-coding RNA (21 nucleotides) under Caenorhabditis elegans. The record is from RNAcentral. Lineage: Eukaryota; Metazoa; Nematoda; Chromadorea; Rhabditida; Rhabditidae.
UUCUAACAACUAGAGAGGGAU